RNAcentral lists this ribosomal RNA (746 nucleotides) under uncultured bacterium. Its description in RNAcentral is "bacterial SSU rRNA". It matches the Rfam family "Bacterial small subunit ribosomal RNA", at positions 28 to 790 of the family's 1533-position model. The record is from RNAcentral.
GACGAACGCUGGCGGCGUGCUUAACACAUGCAAGUCGAGCGGUAAGGCCUUUCGGGGUACACGAGCGGCGAACGGGUGAGUAACACGUGGGUGAUCUGCCCUGCACUUCGGGAUAAGCCUGGGAAACUGGGUCUAAUACCGGAUAUGACCUCCUAUCGCAUGGUGGGUGGUGGAAAGAUUUAUCGGUGCAGGAUGGGCCCGCGGCCUAUCAGCUUGUUGGUGGGGUAAUGGCCUACCAAGGCGACGACGGGUAGCCGACCUGAGAGGGUGACCGGCCACACUGGGACUGAGACACGGCCCAGACUCCUACGAGAGGCAGCAGUGGGGAAUAUUGCACAAUGGGCGAAAGCCUGAUGCAGCGACGCCGCGUGAGGGAUGACGGCCUUCGGGUUGUAAACCUCUUUCAGCAGGGACGAAGCGCAAGUGACGGUACCUGCAGAAGAAGCACCGGCUAACUACGUGCCAGCAGCCGCGGUAAUACGUAGGGUGCAAGCGUUGUCCGGAAUUACUGGGCGUAAAGAGUUCGUAGGCGGUUUGUCGCGUCGUUUGUGAAAACCAGCAGCUCAACUGCUGGCUUGCAGGCGAUACGGGCAGACUUGAGUACUGCAGGGGAGACUGGAAUUCCUGGUGUAGCGGUGAAAUGCGCAGAUAUCAGGAGGAACACCGGUGGCGAAAGGCGGGUCUCUGGGCAGUAACUGACGCUGAGGAACGAAAGCGUGGGUAGCGAACAGGAUUAGAUACCCUGG